Molecule: unclassified non-coding RNA, 413 nt
Filed under: Hevea brasiliensis (rubber tree)
Lineage: Eukaryota; Viridiplantae; Streptophyta; Magnoliopsida; Malpighiales; Euphorbiaceae
Source: RNAcentral
CCCCUCUACUCAUCUCCUACACGUGCUCACCCAUCAUCUCCGCUGCACGGAAUGGCUAAUCUCUCCAAUAAUUCCCUCCCCCCUCACUGUUAAUAGAGGAGAGUACCCUCAACCAGAGCUGAUAGAAGAUCACGAGCUCCACCAACUUCUCUUCAAGGAAUGGAAGAUCGCUCCUUCAAACCCACACUCCCCCGCGAUUCCCGCGGCUCGCUCGAAGUCUUCAACCCGACCGCGUCCCGGCCCAACCCGGCAUCCUCCUCCACGCGGCAACCCCCGCCAGCUCCACGUGUCCCCCACUACAGCACCCCCAGCGACGAUGCCGACGACAUCACCGCCCCAUGGCCGGCGCUUCCCCCGCCGCAGGCGGCAGCGGCGCCGCCGGCGGCUCUUCCGCACUCAGGAGACACCGGAUU